This 339-nucleotide unclassified non-coding RNA is filed under the name soil metagenome. Its description in RNAcentral is "partial contains 5.8S ribosomal RNA, internal transcribed spacer 2, and large subunit ribosomal RNA". The stretch from base 1 to 120 matches the Rfam family "5.8S ribosomal RNA", at positions 35 to 154 of the family's 154-position model. The record is from RNAcentral.
GAUGAAGAACGUAGCGAAAUGCGAUAAGUAGUGUGAAUUGCAGAAUUCAGUGAAUCAUCGAAUCUUUGAACGCACAUUGCGCCCCUCGGUAUUCCGUGGGGCAUGCCUGUUCGAGCGUCAUUUAACCCCUCAAGCCUAGCUUGGUAUUGGGUGCUUGUCCCGCCUCUCGCGCGGCGACUCACCUCAAAGUCAUUGGCAGCCCGCAUCUCGCCGGCCGUGAGCGCAGCACAGACGCGCUCUUGGCAACGACGGAUCGGCUCUCCAAAAGCUUAUUUCAGCCACUGACCUCGGAUCAGGUAGGGAUACCCGCUGAACUUAAGCAUAUCAAUAAGCGGAGGA